CCUUCCCUCUGGCGGCAUGCCUAACACAUGCAAGUCGAACGAAGGCUUCGGCCUUAGUGGCGCACGGGUGCGUAACGCGUGGGAAUCUGCCCCUUGGUUCGGAAUAACAGUUAGAAAUGACUGCUAAUACCGGAUGAUGACGUAAGUCCAAAGAUUUAUCGCCGAGGGAUGAGCCCGCGUAGGAUUAGCUAGUUGGUGUGGUAAGAGCGCACCAAGGCGACGAUCCUUAGCUGGUCUGAGAGGAUGAUCAGCCACACUGGGACUGAGACACGGCCCAGACUCCUACGGGAGGCAGCAGUGGGGAAUAUUGGACAAUGGGCGAAAGCCUGAUCCAGCAAUGCCGCGUGAGUGAUGAAGGCCUUAGGGUUGUAAAGCUCUUUUACCCGGGAUGAUAAUGACAGUACCGGGAGAAUAAGCUCCGGCUAACUCCGUG
Molecule: ribosomal RNA, 433 nt
Filed under: uncultured bacterium
Lineage: Bacteria
Description: partial 16S ribosomal RNA
Rfam family: Bacterial small subunit ribosomal RNA
Source: RNAcentral